This 5716-nucleotide long non-coding RNA is filed under the name Homo sapiens (human). Its description in RNAcentral is "non-protein coding lnc-TOMM20-2:20". The record is from RNAcentral. Lineage: Eukaryota; Metazoa; Chordata; Mammalia; Primates; Hominidae.
AGGAAACAUAGCCUGGCUCUGUGAAGGAAUACUGCUGUGACCGCAAAACUGUUUCUGUAGAAUUUUCUCCGGUGUGGUCAUCCUGCCUUCAGCUUCAGGAAAAAGAGGACCUUAGAACUGAAGGAGCAAGAUUCCAACAUCACACUGUUUUUGUUAGCUGUGUGUGUGUGUUUCCUGUGUAUCCAAAAGACAGAGGAGAUGAAAAAGCAAAAGAAAAGAAACGAGGAAUCAGAUUGGAAAGAAGGUUUCUCCAGGACGUCACCUGUAUGAGGUACACAGUGUGAUGACACACUCUGUGCUUUUCCUACUUGUGUCCACGCCAUACCUGCCAGCAGCCUGCUCUCCCGGCCAUGCUGCGGUUCACAAAAGUCCAGCAUUUGGCUAGCUUCCUGGGGGAAUGAAUCUUUCAGAGCCAAACUAAUGCUAUGCAUGCAGCUUAUGAUUUUUUUUUUUUUGUCUUCAACAAAGUGAAUACUUACUUUUUUUUUGCUCUUUAAAUUGUCAUCCAUUAUAUUCAUCAACACAGAGAGAUGGAACAUUUGGCAAAAUUAUUUUAAGUAGCACUCCAACCUGUGAUCGUAAUUUCAAAUCAAGGAAUUUGCUGAGCAGCUGUGGGGAAGAACAAAAGGCCUGAGAGUGAUUUAGGGCCUGGGGGAGGGGAGGCGGUGGAGUUGAAGGCCCCAGCCGGUAGCAGAAACAGCUGGGGAGGUAGGUUGUGCACACCCCGUGGGGGAGCCGGCCUUCUCAGCCCUGCCAUCCCAUCCACACGUGCCUCAUCAGAGAGUUUUCGUCUCCUGAACAUACCACAUGCAGCACUUUAAAAUAGAUAAACUAAGAGGAUUCAGAUUCAGUUUGAUACCCUCGCUGAGAGCUUCGGCUCGGGAGUUGGACAGGCCUGGCCUUGAAUCCUGGCUCUGCCUCUCACCAGCCUCAGUUGCAUCAUCUGUAAAAUGGGGCUAAUGUAGCAAUCACUUCGCAGAUAUUACUAUGAGGUUGAGUGUUUAUUUGACCCAGUCACUGGCAUAGAACAAGUGUUCAAAAUACUAUUAUUAUCACCAAUAUGCAGAAAUGUUCAAUGUAUACACUCGGUUUUUGCAACCAAUUUAUUCAAUGAACAUCUAUUGAGCACCUGUUAUGUGUUAGGUGCAGGGCUGGGUGUUGUGUGGGUACAAACACAUAAAGCAUAGGAAUUAAUAUGCUAUUAGAUAAACUAAAAAGACUUCUAUUGACUUAAAAAGUAAUAAUGACUUCUAAGCAUAUUUAAGUAAUUUACGAAAGAGCCUUUCUUUUUUUUAUUUUUGAGAUGGAGUCUUGCUCUGUCUCUCAGGCUGGAGUGUAAUGGUGCUAUCUCAGCUCACUGCAACCUCUGCCUCCCGGGUUCAAGCAAUUCUUGUGCCUCAGCCUCCAGAGUAGCUGGGUUUAUAGGCGCGUGCCACGACGCCCAGCUAAUUUCUGUGUUUUUAGUAGAAACGGGGUUUCACCAUGUUGCUCAGGCUAUCUUGAACUCAUGACCUCAGGUGAUCCACCUGCCUCGGCCUCCCAAAGUGCUGGGAUUACAGGUGUGAGCCAUUGCACCCGGUCAAAAGAGGCUUUCUUAACAGAUGGUCUAUUAGAAGCAAUUUGAAAAGAAAAUAUAGAGUUGAAAAAAAUAAAAGGGAAGCUGCAUUCUUUUUAAUUGUUUUUGAACUUGUUGCUUUUCAACACAGCUAUUAUCUAAAUUAACUUAAUUUCUUAAAAUAAGCCCUGCUUGAUACCCGGGAACCUUCAAUCAACUAAUUUGCAGAUAAUCAGACCUAUUUACAAAUAGUCUGGUUUGUCUGAGUGACUUUCAGUGACACAUGCAUACUCAGAAAGGGUAUCAUUUGCCAGGGAUUAGUCAGUUCUGCUGAAUUACAGUCUUCAGAAUGAGAAGUCAUCUAGUUCAACCUUUCAUCCUUUUAAUAGAAUUUCUGGUGGAUAACAGCUGAGCUUCUCCUCCGACUCUGCUAGGAAUGGAGAACUUACUACUUCAAAACGUAGAUGCUGCCUGGGUUGAGCAGCUCUAAAUGUUCAAGAUGGAAUCAUUAAUAGGAAACUAAUUGAAAAGAAUUUGCAUAGCACGUCUCAAGGACAAAAAUCCCUUCUGUUGUUUUUUCCUUUUGUCUUGGUCUGCAUCUCUGUCAUUUGGUGGUGUUUGGACUGCCUGUCUGUCUUCCCUUUUUACUCCGAGCGGCGGCCUGCCCUCUGCCCCCUGCCCCCAGGGGAACAACAAUGGCCCUGAUCACAAUUGGGUGGCCAAGCAUAUCAUGCCGUGGAAGUUUGGAGCCAACACUCAGUUCCAGUUGCUCCUCUCCUUAUUCUCUAGGGUGGCUCCACUAGGUUCUGCUUUCUCAGAAAACAGCAGUGAACUUUGUUCAGCCGAAACCCUAUUUCCCAAGCUGAUACUUGCUCACUGGCCUCCCCUCCUCCAGCUGCUCCCAACUGCUGACCACUUCUUGAGCGCACUGCUAGCUGCUUCUGCUGUUCCAGCACUUCCUGGAAGGCAGCUGCAAGCAGCCGAGGCAGAUGGAGCCCAAGCCCUGUUGCUUGUGGUCUUGGCUUACUGAGCCUGAAUCCACGACCGGAUCAUUAGAAAAGGGACGGUGUGUGUGCCUACCUUUGAAGCCAGUAGGCCAAAAGAAGGGUGAGCAGGACAGCGCCAUAACACCUAGAGUUACUGUGUUUGGUUCACACUUCUGGUUUCCUGCAGAAUUGCUAGAAUUUUUAAAAAAAGGAAGCAGCAAGUUGAGAGCAACUAAAGUAAAAAGAGAAAAGUGAUACAAAGGGAAAGGUUUAUUUUUGGAGCUCUUAGAUUCUGAAACUCCUUCUGACUCUUUUAUCCUUUUACCUCUCCCUUUCUCCUCACUGGGCUCUUUGUCCUCAUGGGGACUGUGCAUCUCUGGUCUCACUCUAGCUCUGGGUCCCUUAGGCUCUUCUGGUUUUCUGGCUCCUGGAGUGAGCCCUUUCAAUGAGGCCCUCCCUCAAUUUCCCAUCCCUCUUGUUCUUCUGCCAUCCAGACUCAUCACAGCCCAAAUCUGAGACCAGCUGGCUGCACCGCUGGCUACUCAGAGCGGCUGGAGACAGCCAUGCCCUGGGGCGACUUGUUCCAUGGUGAUCUGACUGGUUCAUGCAGGGGUCUCGGACCUCACGGACCUCAUCAGGAGCAUCAAAUGGGGUUUUUUUUGGCCGGAAUGAUAUUUAAAACAAUUUGAUUUAGUUAUGAGCAUUUAAGAAAUAGGAGGUCACCAGAAAAUCCAGAGUUUUAGCUCGGCAAGCAGAGAUGGAGAGCUGGCGGUACCCGGUCUUUACCCAUUCUGGAAGGACCACUGGCUGGAGCUGAGAGGCAGUGGCUUCUCUGACAUGGGGCAUACACUCCAUUUUGCUACCUUCUCUGCAACAACAGAGAGUGUCUUCCUGGACCCCAAACUGAGAAUCAGAUGCCUUUAAUCAACGGGCUUGCUUCCUCCCACUCCCCAGACAACCUGAUUCAUGAGAUGCCUGCCUGUUCCCCGUGGGCAUCUGAGUUUGCAGCCCAUGCUCAGUAGAGUUUAUUCGGCAAUCCUUUUCCUGACCUAUAGCAGACUCCUAGCCCACCACAUUUCUAAUGCAGCUGUUGCAAGUCUUGUCCAGACCUUUCAGACCCUUGAUCUCUCCGGGAGAUUGUGCCUCAUACAUUAUUGAAAAGAUUGAGGCCACACAACAUGUGCUCUAAUGCCUCAGCUUUCUGCCUUUCUGCUUCUAAGGUCUCUGUUCUCUCUCCAUUCCGUCCUCCUUCCCUCCUUUCUGACUCUCUUUUUCUUUUUUUCAUCACUUUUAAAAAUUGUAAAAUAGAAUGUACGUACAGAAAAAGGAGGCCGAGGCAGGAGAAUCACUUGAACCUGGGAGACAGAGGUUGCAGUGAGGCGAGAUCACGCAUUGCACUCCAGCCUGGGCAAUAAGAGUGAAACUCUGUCUCAACAAAAAAGAAAAACAAAAAAGAACCAAAAAAAACCCCCCAAAACCAAAGAUAUACAGUUCAGUGAUUUAUCACAAAGUCAACACCAGUGUCAUUAUCAGCCUGAUCGAGAACUAGAACUCUGCCCUCCCUCACCCUGGACGUACUCUUCAUUCCCCCGUCCACCUCUACCCUCCCUCCCUAUCAGAGGCGACCAUUAUCCUGACUUUUUAUGUAAAGCAUCUUUGUUUAUCUUUACCACCUAAAUAUAUAUAUAAACAGAUGUUUAUAGCAGUUUUAUUCAUAACUGUAAAAACUUGAAAGCAACCAAGAUGUCCUUUAGUAGGUGAAUAGAUAAUAAACUGGGAUACAUUCAGGCAAUGCACCAUUAUUCAGUCCUCAAAAGAAAUGAGCUAUCAAGCCAUGACAUGAUAUGGAAGAACUUUAAAUGCAUAUUACUAAGUGAAAGAAGACAGUCUGAAAAGACUAUAUGCUGUGUGAUUCCAACUAUAUGUCAUUGUGGAAAAGGCAAAACUGCAGAGGCAGUAAAAGGAUCAGUAAUUGGCCGGGCGCAGUGGCUUACAUCUGUAAUCCAAGCACUUGGGGAGGCUGAGGCGGGCGGACCAUGAGGUCAGGAGAUCCAGGCCAUCCUGGCUAACACGGUGAAACUCCGUCUCUACUAAAAAUUCAAAAAAUUAGCUAGGCGUGGUGGCAUGCGCCUGUAGUCCCAGUUACUCGGGAGGCUGAGGCAGGAGAAUCGCUUGAACUCGAGAGGCGGAGGUUUCAGUGAGCCAAGAUGGCGCCACUGCACUCCAGCCUGGGCAACAGAGCAAGACUCCGUCUCACACACACAAAAAAAGAAUCAGUAAUUGCCAGGGAUUAGGGGGAGGGAGGGAUCAAACAGUGCAGCACAGAGGGUUUUUAGCACAGUGAACUACUCUGUAUGAUACUAUCAUGAUGGGCACCUGUCAUUAAACAUUUGUCAAAACUUGUAGAAUGUACAAGACCAAGAGAGAACCCUAAUGUGAACUAUGGAUCCUGGGCGAUACCGAUGUGCCAGUGUAGGCUCAUGGAUUGUAACAAACACACAGCCCAGGUGGGGGAUGUUGACAGUGGGGAAGGCUGUGCUAUGUGGGGGGCAGAGGGUAUAUGAGAUAUCUCUGUACCUUCUGUUCAAUUUUGCUGUGAACCUAAAACUGCUCUAAAAAAAUAAAAUCUUAAAAAAAAGGAAAAAAGUCUCUUUAAAUGCUAAGAUUUAGUUUUUGGCUAAACUAAACUUUAGCAUUUCAAUGCUAAAGGCUGUUUUUUUUUUUUUAACUUUAUAUAAAUGUAACUAAACAGUGUGUAUUCUUUCAUGCGCCGCACUUUUUACUCAACAUUAUACUUGUGAAAAUCAUCCAGGUUGUCAUGUGUAGGUGUAGUUUGCAGUUUUUAUCAGUGGAUAGUAUUACAUUAAAGAAAUGGCAUAAUUUGUCUGUCUAUUCUACUCUUGACGGACAUUUAGGUUGUUUCCAGUCUAGGGCUAUUAUAAAUGACGCUUCUGUGAUCAUCCUUGCUCUUGUGUGCUGGUGGAGGCAUAUGUGUGUUUCUGAGGGUAUUACUCUGAGCCUGGAGUCUUCUUUGUGGAAAGGUUUAAAUUAUCAAUUCAGUUUAUUGAAUGGUUAUUGGGUUAGUUAAGAUUUACAUACUUUCUUGUGUCCAUUUUUGAUAAAUUUUCUUUUUAAGGGAUUCACCAAUUUAUCUAAAUUUGCAAAAUGUUUUGGC